AGGACGAACGCUGGCGGCGUGCUUAACACAUGCAAGUCGAACGAUGAACCACUUCGGUGGGGAUUAGUGGCGAACGGGUGAGUAACACGUGGGCAAUCUGCCCUGCACUCUGGGACAAGCCCUGGAAACGGGGUCUAAUACCGGAUAAUACCUGCUGAGGCAUCUCGGCGGGUUGAAAGCUCCGGCGGUGCAGGAUGAGCCCGCGGCCUAUCAGCUUGUUGGUGGGGUGAUGGCCUACCAAGGCGACGACGGGUA
Molecule: ribosomal RNA, 255 nt
Filed under: uncultured bacterium
Lineage: Bacteria
Description: partial small subunit ribosomal RNA
Rfam family: Bacterial small subunit ribosomal RNA
Source: RNAcentral